This 253-nucleotide ribosomal RNA is filed under the name uncultured bacterium. Its description in RNAcentral is "partial 16S ribosomal RNA". It matches the Rfam family "Bacterial small subunit ribosomal RNA", at positions 524 to 776 of the family's 1533-position model. The record is from RNAcentral.
UACGAAGGGGGCUAGCGUUGCUCGGAAUCACUGGGCGUAAAGGGCGCGUAGGCGGGCUUUUAAGUCAGGGGUGAAAUCCUGGAGCUCAACUCCAGAACUGCCUUUGAUACUGAAGAUCUUGAGUUCGGGAGAGGUGAGUGGAACUGCGAGUGUAGAGGUGAAAUUCGUAGAUAUUCGCAAGAACACCAGUGGCGAAGGCGGCUCACUGGCCCGAUACUGACGCUGAGGCACGAAAGCGUGGGGAGCAAACAGG